UCCCUGGAGGACUAGUGGUUAGGCCACAGUGUAUUCACCACUGCAGUCCGGGUUCGAUUCCCGGUCAGGGAA
Molecule: transfer RNA, 72 nt
Filed under: Pangasianodon gigas (Mekong giant catfish)
Lineage: Eukaryota; Metazoa; Chordata; Actinopteri; Siluriformes; Pangasiidae
Description: tRNA-Glu
Source: RNAcentral